GUUUUGGCUGCACACCUCCUUCUAUCGUGGUGAACGCCUUGUCUUGCACUGCAUGUCGCCCUUGCUGGAAUGGAUGGAACACCUGCUUUUAGACUACAGAAUGGUUGGACCACCUCCUUAUAGACUGCCGAACCAUGAUUUUGAUCCUGGCUCAUGCUGGAACACCUCCUUAUAGCUUGCAGAAAUCCAGAGUAUGGUUAUUUGCUUGAGCAUGCAUCACCAUCUUAUUGACUAGAAAGUAACGCGCGUCACCAUGGCAGUCGAUCCAUAUGGGGAGACUGACAAGGACAUCCCCUACCUGGCUCUGAUGACACUAUCCAGACUCCUACAUAGAGGCAGCAUAAGACAGAAGAUAUAGACGGUUGGACUGAAACUCUGAUCCAGCCAUGCCGCGUGCAGGAAGACUGCCCUAUGGGUUGUAAACUGCUUUUACAGAGGAAGAACCGCACCCACGUGUGGGUGUUUGACGGUACUCUGCGAAUAAGGAUCGGCUAACUCCGUGCCAGCAGCCGCGGUAAUCGGAGGAUCCAAGCGUUAUCCGGAAUCAUUGGGUUUAAAGGGUCCGUAGGCGGGACAAUAAGUCAGUGGUGAAAGUUGCAGCUAACUGUAGAACUGCUUGAACUGU
RNAcentral lists this ribosomal RNA (625 nucleotides) under uncultured Antarctic soil bacterium. RNAcentral's name for it is "bacterial SSU rRNA". The stretch from base 129 to 625 matches the Rfam family "Bacterial small subunit ribosomal RNA", at positions 1 to 636 of the family's 1533-position model. The record is from RNAcentral.